RNAcentral lists this long non-coding RNA (550 nucleotides) under Serinus canaria (Common canary). RNAcentral describes it as "lncRNA (ENSSCAG00000013104.1)". The record is from RNAcentral. Lineage: Eukaryota; Metazoa; Chordata; Aves; Passeriformes; Fringillidae.
AGGCCAGCUCACCUCUCCUCUCCAGAGGAAGAGGAAAACCCUUCCCUCUGCUUGGUCUCUUGUGUCAUAGUGAGAUCCUGGCUGUACUACACAAGACUUCCCACGGAUGGCAGCCAUCAACCACUCCUCCAGGCAAAGCAAAGACCUUGUGUCCACUCAAGAGCUCUGAAGAUACCAUGAAUGAAGUAAAUUGCUCACAGAAGGAUGGCACCUGCAAUUAAAGCUUACACUCAAAAACUGUGGGAGAAGGGAAGAAAAUAGAAAGGCCAAAGAAAUCAGGAUGCCAGUUUGGAAGUCACAGAGCUGUACGUUUAUAUUACUGCCAUGUAAGUCACAUAAAGUAAUAACUGAAAUGCAUUAAAGGGAGCACAAUACAAAGACUCAUUAAGUCUCUGCAUGCAAAGCCAAGUCUCCAAUUUAUCACUUAUUUAGAUGGCAAGGGACCAGAAAACUCUGCUUUAAACCUUGGGGAAAAAAAAUAAUCAAAAGAGCUUGUAGCUAAGCGUGGUACAGAGGAGAAAAUACAUUUCUGGAGUUGCAGAUGGCAAGG